This 823-nucleotide long non-coding RNA is filed under the name Mus caroli (Ryukyu mouse). Its description in RNAcentral is "lncRNA (MGP_CAROLIEiJ_G0005610.1)". Lineage: Eukaryota; Metazoa; Chordata; Mammalia; Rodentia; Muridae. The record is from RNAcentral.
UAGGAACAGCACAGCAGUGGCAAAUUGUUUUCGUACCCCCAUGGAGCAGAGAAAACAUUUUCUUGUUUUAAAAAACACUAAUAUUUUAAAAACAUGAAGAGAAAAGUAAGAAUAUCUCUUUAGCAGAGCAGAGUAAGAAGCUUAAAAAGCCCCAACUUUUCCACAGCUGGCCGCAACUACAGAGAGCAUCAGUCACCAUGCACUGAGGGUAAACUCAGAGCUCAGCCUGCCCUUUGGCCAAGAUGGUAACAGUAGAGUGUUUAAAUGUUUUGUUUGUUUUGUUUGAUGUGUGUGAAUGUUUUGCCUGCAUGCAUGUGUUUAGAGCCCACAGAGGGCAGAAAGGGCACCAGAUCACCUGGAUCUAGAAUCACAGAUAUUUGUCAGUCACUAAGUAGGAGGUGUGAAUUGAACUUGGGUCCUCUACAAGGGCAGUCAGUGCUCUUAACUAGAUCCAUGUCAGAACUUCCUUCUACUAUAAGUACCAUGUACAUCCUAAACCCGACAGGCAGCUUCAUGAUAUCUUCCAUUUUUGAAUGGUAACACCACUAGGGAAGUUUGGUAAAUAUGUCAGAAACACUUGGCUUGGUGGCUGAGCUAGAAGCUGUAGGCACAGAGGUGUGUCUACUGUUGCGUGCUGUGAGGACUGGGUCCAAGAUGUCAGGAAUCACAUCUUGGAAGUCGGAAGCUGGAUCAUCACUGCCCAAUCAUAAUUCACUGGUUCAGCUGCAUUUACAUAGCACUAUAUCCAAUGAUCCAAUGAGACCAGACCCCUCAAGCUCUGAGGGACAGCAACACGGAAUGAUGGGCCAAAAGAAAACCUUUC